UUGGAGGACUUUAGCGCACGCGCCUUUUCAGCACCGACUGUUUCUUCAAUGAAUUCCCCAAUGCACCUGCAACUUAGUUUGCCAAUCGCGCCCUCAAUUGUAGCAGGUAAUGUGGUGGGUGCUGUUGUGAAGGGUUAUUCAUUGACACCACAAAAAGAGAUACAAAACUACAUCAAUGCUGUUGGCAUAAUACUCGCUGCUCUGCUUAAGAAAUAUUGGAAUGCAAAUGAACACCAUGGUGAGCCGCUGAUAUGUGUCUUCAGUUGGUGCUGCCUUCAGUAAAAAUUGUGAAGACUCGCUGGUCGCACUAAAAUCGCUGCAAGAAAUUAUGUAUGACAAUGCAGACAAAUUGGCGUCACUUACAAACGAGAAAACAGCGGAAACAAAGAUGAGGAGUUUGCAGGAUUGCAUAAAAUAUUUGGCUAAAUAUCACCAUUGAAAGCACAAAGAUUACAACGAAAAACAACCACGCCAAAGAGGAGUUUUAUGUGCCUAGUCAAGCAUUUUUAACAUCGCUAAUACAAAUUUUCCCAGCCAUUUUCUAGCACAUACAAAAAAGGUGA
Long non-coding RNA from Rhagoletis zephyria (snowberry fruit fly), 563 nucleotides. RefSeq lists it as uncharacterized. Lineage: Eukaryota; Metazoa; Arthropoda; Insecta; Diptera; Tephritidae. The record is from RefSeq and is a predicted model, not a curated record.